UCAUUCCUAAUAAUGCCUUAUGGUAGAUGCUGCGCAUUAAUGCAUAUCAGCGCAUGUGACAGUAAAGUAAUGUCAAGCUUUUCCUCUUACCAAAUCUAGUGAGUGUACUCUUCACCCGUUGGGAGAUUUGUCAUAAAAUAAGACAAGAUUCGCAGUCCUCAAUAUGAACAGUAAAGAGACAUGAUUUUACACCUGGGGAAAUGCAAAGCUACCCUCACCACGAACAAGCAGAUUCUCUGACUUAAGAAAAGCGUACUGAUAAGUCUUCUCAAACAGGUAAGCUAAUGAUGCUAUGAUAGUCUCGCGAACGUGUUGUUUUUGAUUAUAUAUUGCGUAGUGACGAGGUUAAUACGAAGCUUA
Nematostella vectensis (starlet sea anemone) is the source of this 360-nucleotide long non-coding RNA. RefSeq lists it as uncharacterized. The transcript has 2 exons. The record is from RefSeq and is a predicted model, not a curated record. Lineage: Eukaryota; Metazoa; Cnidaria; Anthozoa; Actiniaria; Edwardsiidae.